This is a non-coding RNA of Ornithorhynchus anatinus (platypus), 133 nucleotides long. The record is from Rfam. NCBI's taxonomy places the organism in Eukaryota, Metazoa, Chordata, Mammalia, Monotremata, Ornithorhynchidae.
CCCCUCCCAGGGUUGCACCUGAAGAGUUUCUAGAACUCUACCAGUCUCGACUAAAAGAAGGAGAGUCAAGCAGAGGCCAUUCCAUUCCUAGCUUGGACAGUGGCUAGCAAGUGGAAGGCAAUCUGCUACAAGU